UUCUAUCUGUAUCUGUGUGACCGACUGACUGGCUGUAUCCCUCCCUUCAACUCCGUGCUCCACCCUUUACCACACCACUCUCUCCGACCAAGCAUGACCUCUCCCACUGAUUCCGAGCGACCAACUCUACCCUCCCAAGAGGAUAACAUGCCUGAAGACAACCAGCAAAACCCACAAGACCCACAAGACCCACAAGACCCAGAGUCUCAUCCCCAAUCCCCCCAAACCCUAAUCCUAGAACCCCCGAAUCGCCACCAAAACGAUCAAGACCCGCAAAAUCCACCCGACUUACAAAAUCCGCAAGACCCAUUUGAGCAAACCCAAAUCCAGGACGACCCAGAUCCUUUGCCGGCCCUCUCUCCCCAAAUCGCCGACCCUCACGUGUCCGCCAACGCCACCGCCACCGCCACUGCCACCUCCACCACCACCACCACCACCGCCUCCGCCUCUCGCCGAGCCCCGAAACGCAAGAAAAACGCGCAGAAGCGCCGUCUCGAGCGAGAGAAGUCCCAGAAGAAGCUCGAGAUUCUCGUCGAAACGCUCAAGCCCAUCCCUUUCGUUCCCUCCAAAACCCUAGACUUCGAGAGCCACGAGAAGCUGCUGAGGCGGCUUGGCCUAUGGGACUUUGUCCACAUCGAGUUCGACAAGAACCUCCGAGCCGACCUCCUCGCGCAGCUGAUAGCCAAUUACAGCCCCCAAAAGCGGUGUAGCUACGUGAACUCGGCUCGGGUCAACGUCAACCGGGCCGAUUUGGCACGUGCAUUAAAGUUGCCAUUGCCGGCGAAGAAGAACGUGGUGCUGCUGGACGAGGAAUCCGAGGCGGAGGUGGGGGGAUCGGUGGCGGAGUCGGUAGGGUUCGUGGAGGAUUUUGUGUCUAAUUGGGUGCUUUUGCACGAGGAUACGUGGAUGAUGCCGAACGAGGUGUUGAAUUGGACCAAAGUGAUCAAGGAAGGGCAUUUCGAGAAGGUGGAUUGGGCUAGUUUGAUCUGGUUCAUGGUAGAGAAGGAGCUGGUGCAGGCGCAGAAGCUCACAAAUUGCUACUACGCCUCGCAUUUGCAGUAUCUGAUAAGGUGGAAGCACGAUCAGUUGCUCAAGGAAGAGUCUAAUGUACAGGAGGUUGAGGUGGAGGUGGAGGAGGUUGAGGUGAAGGAGGAGGAGGACGAAGAUGAGGAGGAUUUGGAUGGUAGUGGGGAUGUGAAGAUGGGUGAGGUUGAAGAGUUUCGGGGUCGCGAAUUGGAGGAGAAUAGUAUUGAAUUGAGUCUUGGGCAAGAUAAUGUGGAGAGAGUGGAACAGAAGGUUGAGAGAAUUGAAGAAAUGGUUGAGAGUGUUGAGGAGAAGGUUGAGAGUGUUGAGGAGAAGGUUGAGAGAGUUGAAGAGAAGGUUGAGAGAGUCGAAGAGAAGGUUGAGAGAGUUGAAGAGAAGGUAGAGGUUGAUGAUGUUGAUGUUAAUGUUGAGAAGGAGCGUGGUGGGAAUGGGGAUAUUAUGGAUUUUGAGGAAUGUAGGGAGGGGUAUAAGGAGGAGGAAGGAGGUGGGCAAUGGCUUUUUGAUAGGAAGAGCAAUCUUGGCGAUAUGGCAGAGUCCUUUCUGAGGCCGUGUAGUGUUGGUGAAGUUAAAGGAUUGGAUUGUGAGGAGGAAAAGAGAGAAGAAGUGGAAGAAGGAGAGGAAGAAGGAGAGGAAGAAGGACAAGAGGAGGAAGGGGAAGAAGAAGAAGAAGAAGAAGAAGAAGAAGGGGGGCAAGAGGUUUGUGGGUUUCAUCUUUCGCCUAAGUGCAAUACGCUAGAGGGGUUGGCUUCAGGGAGUCUAAUUCAGGAAAUGGAAGGGGCACAAAUGCCUUUUAGCACAGAGUUGGAACUCCGUGAUCAUUCGGCGGGGGGGUUUUUAACAUCUAGGGAUGACAGUAGGAUGAUUUCUGGUGGUUCAUCGCUUUUUUGUAAUAAUAAUAAGAGAGGGAUUGGUCAUGAGAAUGACAACAUUCAUAAUUCUCUUAAUGAAGGUAAUAAAAGGUUGAGGAGUGAUGGGCCCUGGGAUGGUAAAGUGGCUGAUUUUGAUAUGUGUAUGGAUCAAGUACAGCAUUGGGUCGGGAAAGCUAGGAUGAUGUAUGCUGCGAAAGAACAGGCUUGUGGGGAUGCUACUGUGAACCAGCAGAUCUUGCUAAAUGAGUUGCAGCAGCGGGAUAGUUUGAUUGAACACUUGCGUGCAGCUAAGUUUGAAGAUCAACAAAAAAGACAAGUGGAGUUGUAUAGGCUUGAUCGUGAAGUCUACAUGAUGGGACAUCUGUUGGAUGGCUAUAGGAAGGCCUUGAAGGAAGUUCAUGGAGCAUUUGCUGAAUACAGAGCACGCUGUCCGCAGCCUGAAGAGCCACUUUACAAGGAUGUUCCUCAAUCUGGAGGUCUUGUUCUCAGCUCCAUGGAGCUAGAAAAGCAACGCUUGAAGCAAGAAGAAGAAGACAGGAUGAACCGUUUGGUGAUCGAGAAGAAGGUUAAAGUCUUUGAAGGAGGAUGGAAGAGUAAAUUUGAAGCACAUUUGGAAGGGGUUGAUUUGCUUGGUAAUAGGCUGCUGAAUGUUGAGAAUGAAGUGAAACUACUUAAGGAAUCAUUAGCAACACGUAAAGUUUCGGAAAUAUCAGAUGGAACUCCCAAUGAAUGAUGCACUACUGAACCCUUGAAGCAAGGGACAAGAUAUUGCUUGAAGAGCUUGUUGAUGUACAUUUUCCACUAGUUGAGUGCGUGGAUAGGUUGGCCAUCUUCUCCUGAUAACAUGCAACAACUCCCACUGGCAUGCUGGUUAAAACUUAGUAAUUUUAUCUGGAGCAGUGGGCACAAUGACAUCUCGGCAGGGUUGGUAUUUGUAGCCUGCAAACUUUUUCUACCAAGAUGUAUAAAGUAGCAGUACGUGGCAUUGAAAGAGAUACAGGAGGAAAGAAUGUCCAAAUAUGUUAUUGGGUUGACAUGAAGCCGUCAUUUAAUUGCGGGUAGAGGUUCGAUUUUAACUUAUAUUGUGGGGGAGAUAUAUAGAGAAUUAACCAUGUCAGCAUGUAUCCUUGAUGAAACAGAAAUUGUGCUAUGUUAUUAUUUGAAACCCCUAGUGUAUAGGGUGGAGUAAUUUCUCAGAAGUAGUGGACAAAAGUUACAUAUUUUUAUCUAUAAAUAUGCAACUCUUGCUCUUGGAAGUUA
Molecule: RNA transcript, 3173 nt
Organism: Alnus glutinosa
Lineage: Eukaryota; Viridiplantae; Streptophyta; Magnoliopsida; Fagales; Betulaceae
Exons: 4
Source: RefSeq, a predicted model, not a curated record